CCGUGUAAGAAGUGCCUUUCGCCUCCCGCCAUGAUUCCGAGGCCUGCCCAGCCAUGUGGAACUGUUGUCGCUGCCCUCAGCCUCCAGAUGCAGCCCGCUGCCACCUUCAGGACCCCUGGCUCUCCCUUUGACUCAGUAGCAAAAGGGUUUAUGUGCUCGGAGGGAGUCCUUCAGGAAUCUGUGCAUAGAAUGCCAUAGUGCAGAGGAAAGUCUUCUUUCUGAAACCAGCCCAACUUUUCUCCCAGAGAGUAUCAUGGAACUGAACUUUCAAGAUCAUGGCAUCUGGACAUGGAGACAACAGAACCCUCAUCUGGCCACCUGCUGCUUGUUGACCAAUUCCCAUAUAAACCACUAACUUCAGUCAGUUGGAGAGACGGAUUUGAGAUUUGCCUUCUGUCUCUCAGCUGAUGUCACCAGCAAUAAAGCCUUCUUCCCUGGC
This 439-nucleotide non-coding RNA is filed under the name Pongo abelii (Sumatran orangutan). Lineage: Eukaryota; Metazoa; Chordata; Mammalia; Primates; Hominidae. The record is from RNAcentral.